AUGUGUGAUUCGGCGAUGCCCUCACCACACCAUGACAUCCACCUCCCCUUCUCUUCGGCCGCCAUGGCGACCUGUAGUGGGCCUCGACGGCGACCUUGGUGGGGAGGGCGGCAGCGUUCCCGGGCUCGUGCAACUACUGCCCCCAAUCCCCUCCAGCUCCCCUCGUCCCCGCCCUCGAGCAGCAGCGUGGUGGUUGCCGCUAGACCCCUCUACGUGCAGUUCUCUUGCCAUGAAGUCGCGGUUAGCGGCAGGGCAUCGACCACCAGGACUGCAUCCUACCACCACGGCGUCUUUCCCAAUCCCUCCUCAUUCCAACAACGGCAGCGAGGUGCUCCACCACGAGUCCGGGGCAAGGACAGGCUCUGCCGUGCCGGGAACGAGGGAUUCCGCACCGGGAGCAAUUCGCCAGGGACGGGAGAACCACUCCAGGUGAUGCCGUUUGCGAGAUCCUGGAUGUGGCAUUGCAGUGCAUCUGGAUCUCUCUAG
Molecule: ribosomal RNA, 486 nt
Filed under: Triticum aestivum (bread wheat)
Lineage: Eukaryota; Viridiplantae; Streptophyta; Magnoliopsida; Poales; Poaceae
Description: partial small subunit ribosomal RNA
Source: RNAcentral